Molecule: long non-coding RNA, 3902 nt
Organism: Heterocephalus glaber (naked mole-rat)
Lineage: Eukaryota; Metazoa; Chordata; Mammalia; Rodentia; Bathyergidae
Source: Ensembl
UAGGGCUUCAUUACAUUUUCAUCGAUAGCCUGGUUUGAAUAAGAAAAUAUUUAAUCACCUUGAUUAGGGACUAUGAUGGGAUGUGGCAUGAGAGAAGGGAUGGGAAGAGAGAGAAGAUGAGUCAGCCCUUGAAGAGCAUUAGGGAUCAGGUUUGCAGAGUCAACCUGUGGGUGAUGGAAAAUGAAGCUCUCAGAGGUUUUAUGUUACCCACCUAAGUCACAUGGCUAGAGACCCCUCCAGCCCCACUGAUAUGGGAUGUAGACAGAGGCAUUGGCCAAAGCCUGGAGAGACGCACACCCAGAGUCAGAGGGGAAAGAAGCAGAGUGAAGAACCUUUCUGAGAAGCCUGCUCAUCUGUAUGCUCCGAGAGCAGUGGAAGCCACAGCACAGGAAGCUUCAUUGGGAAGGGCCUUGUGAAUCAGUCCAGGCUCAUGGGCACAACUGUGAGCCUCGCUUAACCCAGGGCCCCCAUCCCAUUCCCUACUGUCCUUGCUUCUGUCCUGCUUGUGCAUGUGUGUCUGGAUGUGUGUGUGGUGUGCAUGCCCACACUGAAGAGGCAGAAGAGAUGAAGGUCCCUCUGCCCAUACCCAUUGGGAACUUAGCCCUGGGACUCUCUGCUCCCUCUCCCCUGAAGCUGCUUUGGAGUCCUCUCCCCCAGAUUGUUGGCAAAGCUGCUGAGCUUCUGAUUCAGUGACAUUUUACAGGAUCACUGUGUUCUCUCUUCAGAGCCAUUUGAGAUAGAACUGGGAACAGGAGGCCCACUGUCUCAGAGGAUUGCAUCAAGAACUGUGCCCCCGAGCAGCUGAAGACUGCAGGGUCUUGGAGCUGCAGGGACAGGAGGGAAGGAGCCAAUACUCCACCAGGCAUCCACUCUUUUCACAUACUAUCUUUUCAUGAAUCUCUGCAGUCGUGAUAGAAAGUACCCCCAAAAUGUCUCCAUCUGAAAGUAGAGGAAACUGAGGCUGAGAGGCAUAAAAGUGACUGGCCUAACACAUCAGUGAAUAAAUGGCCUGAAAGAUCUUUAACACUAGUCUGCUCUAAUUCUGCAUGAUGACUCUUCCUUUAUGUCAUGCAGUCAAGCCUUGCCACCAGCCAGAAUUUCUGAGAUGCAUCACUGGUUUAUAAAGCGGUGUCAAAUGGUAUGAGCAUGGAGGGGAUGACAUGUGUGCAGUGGGUCACAGCACUUCUCUUUCUUCAGACUCGAAGUCCAAGUUUUGUCAGAAAAUUCUCAUGGAAAGACAGACAGAUACCAGGCUGACCUAGCAUCCACUCAUUCUCUCCCUCUCUCUCUCUCUCUCUCUCUCUCUCUCUCUCUCUCUCUCUCUCAGUUUGGAAAAAGGAUUUGUAGGUCAUUUAGUCCAAAUUUCUAAUUCCUGAAUUAAAGUUGCAGUAUCUAAAGUAAAUAGCUUUCUAGCCUGUGCUUGGAGAUUUAUAGACUGUAAGGACUUUUACAAAGGGAGAAAUUAUUACCAGAGAUAAUGAAAUGAGGUGUGACCCUGACAAUGCAUAGGCUCACAGUGUAGGCAUCUGGAACUCUGUAGUGGCCGUGGUCAGCAUGGACAUGGUGCGGUGUUGGUAACAGUAAUGACAGUAGUAGUAGCAGUGAUGAUGGUUGUGCUGGAGGUCAGGGUGGUGAUGGAAAUGACUGUGACAGCAGUAAUGGGGUGGUGUGAGUCUUGAUGGUAGUAGCACCAGAGGUGGUAGAAGUUGGAGUGAUCCUGGAAGGAAAGCCCCAAGCAGAGGGUAAGUUCUUCCUGGGACAUCAACUAGUUGCCCAUACUGCCUGUAUUAAUCAUGCUUCUCUAGAGGAACAGAACCAAUAGAAAAUAUAUGCAUCAUGAUGCAAAGGGGUUAUUAGGUAGCUUACAGGGUCAGAGGUGGAGAAUCCACUGUGGCCAUCUCUGCACGCUGGAGAGCCAGGGCAUCCGGGAGCUGCUCAGCCCAUGAAGAUGGAGGCUGCAGAACAACAGGGAUCAAGGAUGAGGUGCAGUCCAAGCUCAGAGGCCCGGAAAGUCACUGGAGGGUUGCUGGUGCUAAUCUACAUCAGAAGGCUAAGGAAGAAACUGGAGACUUGGAGGCUGAUGUGCAAAGGAUUGGCCCUUCCAGGAAGACUGGGCCUCUUCAGAACUGGGACACUUCUUUAUUCUUUCCCUGCAAGCCUAUUGGUAGGUAGCGCCUACAUAGGAGGUGGGUCUCCCCUACCCAGUUUGCUGGCCUACAUGUCAAUCACCUUCAGAAACAGCCAGACCUGCACUUUACUAAUCUGGUAAGUGCUUCUUAAUUCAUUCAAAUAGACACAGUAUGAUUAAUAGUCACGCUGUCCCAGGGUAGCUCAUCCCUGUGAGGAGAAUGGAUAACUCCAUAGCAUUCUCCUGGCCUGUCCAGGUCAGGGAGCUGCUAGGCUGAAAUCUUGCCUGACACAGCCAAUGUCCUCCAUUCCAAGGUGGCCGGAACCCAGGGCCCUGAGGCCUGGCAGACUUUUCUAAGCUUUUGUAGAAAUGUUUAUGAUGGAAACAUAUUCAGGUCCACAGGCUGGGACAAGCCUACACACACACACACACACACACUCACACACACACACGCACAGAGUUUCUGCAGAAGCUGGUGGAGAGAGGAUGAGUGUGGCUAAGUGUGUGCCACAUGUCCAUCUCCGCCAUUCUGAUCCAGGUGGUUGCGCAAUGCUGGCAGCUUUGUCACUGACUCAGUCACUGAGACACCAGCAGCGAAAGCAACCAGUAUGCUGUUUGCCUCUCUGGAAUGCAAGCAUGCCAAAUGAAGAGUCACACAAUAUGGCCUCCUUGCAGCAAUGGAUGGCCUGCCCCCAGCUGGUGCCAGGUUUGCUUUCUGUUUAGUUCCAGUGCCCUCUCACUUGUCAGGAAUGACAUUUGGGAGACUUGACGGAGGAAACUCCAUUCUGUGAUAGAUAGGAACUGGUGACCCUGUGGCUAUGGGCAACGCUGGCUUAGUGUAGGCAUAGCCCAGAAUGACUCCUGCUAUUUACCAUACAAGAAAUCAAUGUAAAACAAUGACCCUUCCCCACAAGAGCAUAUGUGUUUCAUACUCCAAGCACCCCUCGAUCUGUCACCCCAAAUACGUUCAGCAGUAUUACCCAAAUCAUGGACUCACUAAAGUGCCUGCCUUCAAUAGGGUCCCUUAUUUCCUCCUGUACAGGAGUAAUAAUUUCAAGGGCAAGAAGAGAAAGUGCAUAUGAUGUCCUUCCUCUGUUGGUGCCUGGCCUGGGGAGAUUCUUAGAAAAUGUGUGCUCAAUGAAGGACAUGAUGACCGGGUGAUGUAGAUGUGGAAGCAUUUCUGUUUUUGCAAGGUCACAUUAACUUCUGUGCAGGGAAAGAGUCAGCUCGAAAGCUUUGAUGGCCUCUGGGAACAGAGAGCUCUACCCAGACCACACAUGGAAAGCUUCCAAAGGUGAAGGCCACGAGGACAGUCGCAGUGUCCUUGGCUGCAUAAAUGUGCACGACAACUGCAUGUGUUGGUACCUGGCAGUUCUUCGGAGACUAACUGUAAGGUCUUCUUUUAUAGCCUGGUUGCCUUUAUGAAGACAAGGGUCUGCCAGUGGCAGUGACAACCCUUGGAAUUUCUGGACAGUGAUUCAGAGAUUAGUCAUAUAUAGCACCCAGUCAUUUGUAGGUACAAAGCUUAGGCUCAGUGUGUACUUGCCAACAAUGUCCCUGUCACCCUGCUUGGCACCCAGCCCAUAUAUAACGAGAGGCUCUCAAAUUCCAACCGACUAUGGAAGCAGAGCCAGUGUUAAGGAAAUCGCCAUUUUACUUGUUAAAAUAAUACCCGGAUUCUGUAGCAGAUUCUUUCUAACAGAUUUUAUUCAGGCAUCCACCCAUUGCCAAGUUGGGGCAUUCUGCUGGCAUCUGUUGUGGAUCUAGGUGUGGG